AGAUUGGUUUCAGCACUUUUGAUGUUGUUCCCUUGAUGAGCACAGGGGCCUGAGAUCCCACACCUCAUUAAAGAGCUUUUUGUUUGUUUUACUCUUUUUUUUUUUCAUAAUUCCUCACAGUGCAGUGCCCUCUAAAGAGUCAGUGGGCUUUCUGUAAAUGCUAUUGAUCAGUUUUGCUUGUCUUCUAUGUUUUUACUGGUUUGCAUGUUGUUCAUUAUAUUUUAAUGCUUUAUUUACUUGGCCAUUUAUUCCACUGACCUAGAGAACCUUUUGAAGCUGAGGCAUGUGUACUGCUCACAUUCGUAUCUACAACAGUGGUUCUUAGACUUUAGGAGGCAUCAGAAUCACCUGGAGGACUUGUUUAUCCACACAUUCUUGGCCCAUACCCGAGUUUCUGGUUCAGGAGGUGUGGCUUAGGGCUGAAGAUUUGUAGUUCUUGUAAGUUCCCAGGUGUUGCUGAUGCUGCUGGCCUGGUUGGGGGGCGCAGGUCACAUUUCGAGAAUCAGUGAUGGAGAGCAGUUGCCGGCAAAUAAUAAGUGCACAAUGAUUAUUUCUGGCUACAUGAAUUCAUGAUUGAAGAUUUUUCCAUAAGCCAGAACGUGAUGCCUCUGUCAAAUUCAACACUUUCAUGAAAAAAAGACUACUGCUGUUGCUGCUACUGCUAAGUCACUUCAGUGGUGUCCGACUCUGUGCGACACCAUCCCUGGGAUUCUCCAGGCAAGAACACUGGAGUGGGUUGCCAUUUCCUUCUCCAGUGCAUGAAAGUGAAAAGUGAAAGUGAAGUCACUCAGUCGUGUCUGACUCUUCAUGACCCCAUGGACUGCAGCCUACCAGGCUCCUCUGUCCAUGGGUUUUCCAGGCAGGAGUACUGGAGUGGGGUGCCACUGCCUUCUCUGAAAAAAAGACUAACAAAGACUUAAGGGGAGAAAAGUAGGAGUAAAAAAUUCAAACCUUAUUCUCUUCCUCCACUCAGGCCAAGACAGCUCUGUUCAGAGGAGAUGAUGUUGGGCUUCACAACCUGCUCCUUCUGUGAUGCUUCUGAGUUUGAAGAACUAUGUCUUGGAAGCCCUAGACUUGGAUCAUAAUUUUCUAAGAAAAGCAAAUCCUUCUAAAGUAGUUAGUUCAGAAUUUUUAUCUGGAUUAGUCUAAUAUGUAGGGAAAUAGCUGGAACAGGAUAAGUUUAUGAAGACAAGACUGGCACUACACAUUUUCUAAGGUGAGAACAAACCACUAAAGUGGGAAAGAUAUGGCCAAUCUGACUUGAUAUUUAAAUAGAAUUGGCAGUUAGCUAAUGUGAGAGAAUAGCUCUUACAGAGCUCCUCCCCCACAUCUUCCAGCCCACGAGUUCCAUGUCUGAAAAGCCCACUUGUUCUGAGAGGAUGUUUAGCCUAAUGGUUCAGCUUUAAAGCCAGACUGCCUGGGGCUAGGCCAUGACCUUGGGACAACUACUUAAUAUCUCUGCCUCAGUUUCCUCACCUGUGAAAUUGUAUAAACUAGUACUUAUAGUAUUGUUAUGCGUGUUCAGUGAGUUAAUAUAUUUAUAAAGGCUUAGACCAGUGAGCGACUUAGCAGCAAACCAGCAAUUGGCAUACAAGGAGUGUCCAAGUAUCGAUAUUGUAGGAACGUUGUUUAAUAUCCAAAUAAAGCAAGGAAAUGUAAGAACAC
Molecule: long non-coding RNA, 1665 nt
Organism: Bos taurus (domestic cattle)
Lineage: Eukaryota; Metazoa; Chordata; Mammalia; Artiodactyla; Bovidae
Source: Ensembl